ACGAACGCUGGCGGCGUGCUUAACACAUGCAAGUCGAACGGAAAGGCCUGCUUUCCCUUGUGGAUUGCGGGUACUCGAGUGGCGAACGGGUGAGUAACACGUGAGUGAUCUGCCCCCAACUUGGGUAUAAGCCUGGGAAACUGGGUCUAAUUCCCGAUAGGACUGCAGGGUGGUUCCUGUGGUGGAAAACGAUUUUCUAGUGGUUGGGGAUGAGCUCGCGGCCUAUCAGCUUGUUGGUGGGGUAAUGGCCUACCAAGGCGGCGACGGGUAGCCGGCCUGAGAGGGUGGACGGCCACAUUGGGACUGAGAUACGGCCCAGACUCCUACGGGAGGCAGCAGUGGGGAAUAUUGCACAAUGGGCGGAAGCCUGAUGCAGCGACGCCGCGUGGGGGAUGACGGCCUUCGGGUUGUAAACUCCUUUCGACCGCGAGGAAGCCACCUGGUUGGAAGGGUGGUGACGGUAGUGGUAGAAGAAGCACCGGCUAACUACGUG
This 493-nucleotide ribosomal RNA is filed under the name uncultured bacterium. RNAcentral's name for it is "partial 16S ribosomal RNA". It matches the Rfam family "Bacterial small subunit ribosomal RNA", at positions 29 to 507 of the family's 1533-position model. The record is from RNAcentral.